This 666-nucleotide long non-coding RNA is filed under the name Olea europaea subsp. europaea. The record is from RNAcentral. Lineage: Eukaryota; Viridiplantae; Streptophyta; Magnoliopsida; Lamiales; Oleaceae.
GACAGCUUCAGGCACUAUAGAGUCCAAGAAGUCUAUAGCUAGUCCAGCUCAAACGGUAGCUGGUAAAGACUUAACAAAUCCGUUUAUGGUUUUGGACUUGCCAAAAGCCCAACAGAUUCAGGAGGCUGUUGAUUCUCCUACUUUUCAAUUUAAUCAGACUCAACAGGCUGAAAAUCCUGUUACAAAAAAUAAAAUUACUGAAGAACAGACUCAGCAGACUGUAAAUUCUACUACUAGAUUAAUUAGUCCAAUAGAUUUAAAAUAGAAAAGCCCAGUUAAUCUUAUAUCAGAAUCAUUUCAAUCAUCACAAGAUCCAGAGCAAAUUACUCAAUCAGAUAUAAAAAGAUUGAAAAAAAAUGUUUGAUAAAAUAGAAAAAUUACAGCAACAAGUUAAACAAAAGACCUCAAAGAAAAAGAAGUUGCAGAUAAAGAAGAAAAACAAAGGCAUAAAGAAAAUUGAUCUUAAAGAAGAUUAUGAGGAUAAUACAGAAGAGGACAAUAAUUCAGAAGGCUAUACUGAUGGAGGAGCAUCUUUAGACAGCAUUGGCCGACACAAUUAUGAAACAAGAUAAGGAUUCAAGAAAGAUCUGAUCAUACAAAGAAAGACUUAGCUGGAAAAGAGACACUUGGCAAACUUUCAAAAAGAUCAGAAAUUAUUGUACGAGA